RNAcentral lists this ribosomal RNA (469 nucleotides) under uncultured bacterium. Its description in RNAcentral is "partial 16S ribosomal RNA". It matches the Rfam family "Bacterial small subunit ribosomal RNA", at positions 28 to 507 of the family's 1533-position model. The record is from RNAcentral.
GACGAACGCUGGCGGCGUGCUUAACACAUGCCAGUCGAACGGAAAGGCCCUGCUUGCAGGGUGCUCGAGUGGCGAACGGGUGAGUAACACGUGGGUGAUCUGCCCCUUACUUUGGGAUAAGCCUGGGAAACUGGGUCUAGUACUGGAUAGGGCCAUGCUGUAGGUGGUGUGGUGGAAAGAUUAGUUUCGGUAAGGGAUGAGCUCGCGGCCUAUCAGCUUGUUGGUGGGGUAAUGGCCUACCAAGGCGUCGACGGGUAGCCGGCCUGAGAGGGUGGACGGCCACAUUGGGACUGAGAUACGGCCCAGACUCCUACGGGAGGCAGCAGUGGGGAAUAUUGCACAAUGGGCGCAAGCCUGAUGCAGCGACGCCGCGUGGGGGAUGACGGCCUUCGGGUUGUAAACUCCUUUCAGCCAUGACGAAGCCCUUGUGGUGACGGUAGUGGUAGAAGAAGCACCGGCUAACUACGUG